CCUUAGCCCUGGUUGCAGCGGCAUCCUUUAAUAAAAAAAGCCAUUCAUUCGAAUGGCUUUUUUUAUUAAAGAUAAAGCGGAAGACAGGUUCCCGG
This 95-nucleotide small RNA is filed under the name Flavobacterium enshiense DK69. RNAcentral describes it as "Flavobacterium sp. DK69 Flavo-1 RNA". It matches the Rfam family "Flavo-1 RNA". Lineage: Bacteria; Pseudomonadati; Bacteroidota; Flavobacteriia; Flavobacteriales; Flavobacteriaceae. The record is from Rfam by way of RNAcentral.